GGUAUUGUGGCUCAAGUGGUAAAGCACUUGCCUUGCAUGCAUGAGGCCCUAGGUUCAAUUCCUCAGCACCA
Molecule: transfer RNA, 71 nt
Filed under: Dipodomys ordii (Ord's kangaroo rat)
Lineage: Eukaryota; Metazoa; Chordata; Mammalia; Rodentia; Heteromyidae
Rfam family: tRNA
About the family: Transfer RNA (tRNA) molecules are approximately 80 nucleotides in length. Their secondary structure includes four short double-helical elements and three loops (D, anti-codon, and T loops).
Source: Rfam by way of RNAcentral